This is a long non-coding RNA of Girardinichthys multiradiatus, 501 nucleotides long. RefSeq lists it as uncharacterized. The record is from RefSeq and is a predicted model, not a curated record. The transcript is spliced from 3 exons. NCBI's taxonomy places the organism in Eukaryota, Metazoa, Chordata, Actinopteri, Cyprinodontiformes, Goodeidae.
AUUUAAACACAGGAGAGAGUGUGGAAGCACAGGUGGGGGGCAUUAAGCUGAUUGGGAACCUGCUGACAAAAACUGUCUCUGGGGUGCAGAUCCUGCUGUGAAGCUUCAAACGUCUAACUGAGCUCAGGGAAAGGCCAGAGAGGAGCAAUUCACUAAAUGUUUUGAUGCAACCCACGGCUGCUGUGCUGGGAGCUGGCUGCAUGAAAAAAGCCCACACGUACCCCGGCACGUUGGGGAUGAUCAGGGUCCUAGUGGAGUGUCAGCGCGUGUCAGAGGGCUGUUUACCAACCAUGACGGAUGGGAGUGGGGUCACUGGAGAGACAAAUACUAUCCAACGGCACCAGCCUAUUACAAACUCUCCCCAUUCUGUGACUGCACUGCCACUUCCUUCUAGGAUUUCAUUCAACCUUGCAACUGGUUGGAUUUGCAUAGGAUUUUACUGUGCUACUCAUGUGUUUUUUAUGGAUUUCUUUGAUUUUUAAAUUGUAAAUAAUAUUUGUU